RNAcentral lists this ribosomal RNA (250 nucleotides) under uncultured bacterium. RNAcentral's name for it is "partial 16S ribosomal RNA". It matches the Rfam family "Bacterial small subunit ribosomal RNA", at positions 524 to 773 of the family's 1533-position model. The record is from RNAcentral.
UACGGAGACUGCAAGCGUUACUCGGAUUUACUGGGCGUAAAGGGUGUGCAGGCGGCCAUGUGUGUUAGAUGUGAAAUCUCGGAGCUCAACUCCGAAACUGCGUCUAAAACUGCAUGGCUAGAGUCUUGGAGAGGUAAGCGGAAUUCCUGGUGUAGCGGUGAAAUGCGUAGAUAUCAGGAGGAACACCAAAGGCGAAGGCAGCUUACUGGACAAGUACUGACGCUCAGGCACGAAAGCGUGGGUAGCGAAA